This 366-nucleotide ribosomal RNA is filed under the name Solinca aulix. RNAcentral describes it as "partial small subunit ribosomal RNA". The record is from RNAcentral. Lineage: Eukaryota; Metazoa; Arthropoda; Malacostraca; Decapoda; Epialtidae.
UAUUAUACUAAAUUUUAAUAAAAACUAAAAUAUUAUAAGAUAUAUUCUUUAAAUUUAAAGAAUUUGGCGGUGAUUUAGUCUUUCCAGAGGAACCUGUUUUGUAAUCGAUAGUCCACGAAUAAUCUUACUUAUUUUUUUAAAGUUAAGUAGUUUGUAUACCGUCAUUAUCAGAUAAUAUUUAGAGAUAUUUUUAUUAUUGAAAAAAAAUUUUUUAGUAAAUUAGAUCAAGGUGCAGCUUAUAAAUAAGUUAAAAUGGGUUACAAUUAAGUUUAUAUAAAAAUGAAUAAAAAUUUGAAAAAAUUUUAGGAAGGAGGAUUUGGUUGUAAUGGGAAUUAAUAAGAGAAAAAGAUAUAAGCUCUAAAUUGU